GCCAUGUCAUGUUGAAAAACCAGUUCUAAUCUGAUCACUGAAGUUAAGCAAUGUUGAGCCUGGUCAGUACCUAGAUGGGUGACAACUUGGGAAUACCAGGAGUUGUAA
Molecule: non-coding RNA, 108 nt
Organism: Acanthosepion pharaonis
Lineage: Eukaryota; Metazoa; Mollusca; Cephalopoda; Sepiida; Sepiidae
Source: the annotation of a GenBank genome assembly